UACGUAGGUGGCAAGCGUUGUCCGGAAUUACUGGGCGUAAAGGGCUCGUAGGCGGCCAACUAAGUCGGAUGUGAAAUCCCCAGGCUUAACCUGGGAACUGCAUCCGAUACUGGAUGGCUUGAAUCCGGGAGAGGGAUGCAGAAUUCCAGGUGUAGCGGUGAAAUGCGUAGAUAUCUGGAGGAAUACCGGUGGCGAAGGCGGCAUCCUGGACCGGCAUUGACGCUGAGUGAGCGAAAGCCAGGGGAGCAAACGGG
This 254-nucleotide ribosomal RNA is filed under the name uncultured bacterium. RNAcentral's name for it is "partial 16S ribosomal RNA". It matches the Rfam family "Bacterial small subunit ribosomal RNA", at positions 524 to 776 of the family's 1533-position model. The record is from RNAcentral.